GUGGCGCACGGGUGAGUAACACGUGAGCAAUCUGCCCUUGACUCUGGGAUAACUGCGGGAAACUGUAGCUAAUACCGGAUAUUACCUUGGAAGGCAUCUUCUGGGGUGGAAAGAAUUAUGGUCAAGGAUGAGCUCGCGGCCUAUCAGCUAGUUGGUGAGGUAAUGGCUCACCAAGUCGACGACGGGUAGCCGGCCUGAGAGGGUGACCGGCCACACUGGGACUGAGACACGGCCCAGACUCCUACGGGAGGCAGCAGUGGGGAAUAUUGCACAAUGGGCGCAAGCCUGAUGCAGCAACGCCGCGUGAGGGACGACGGCCUUCGGGUUGUAAACCUCUUUUAGUAGGGAAGAAGCGACUGGGUUUUCCUGGGAGUGACGGUACCUGCAGAAAAAGCACCGGCUAACUACGUGCCAGCAGCCGCGGUAAUACGUAGGGUGCAAGCGUUGUCCGGAAUUAUUGGGCGUAAAGAGCUCGUAGGCGGUUUGUCGCGUCUGCUGUGAAAACCCGAGGCUCAACCUCGGGCCUGCAGUGGGUACGGGCAGACUAGAGUGCGGUAGGGGAGAUUGGAAUUCCUGGUGUAGCGGUGGAAUGCGCAGAUAUCAGGAGGAACACCAAUGGCGAAGGCAGAUCUCUGGGCCGUAACUGACGCUGA
RNAcentral lists this ribosomal RNA (653 nucleotides) under uncultured Cryobacterium sp. Its description in RNAcentral is "bacterial SSU rRNA". It matches the Rfam family "Bacterial small subunit ribosomal RNA", at positions 95 to 749 of the family's 1533-position model. The record is from RNAcentral. Lineage: Bacteria; Bacillati; Actinomycetota; Actinomycetes; Micrococcales; Microbacteriaceae.